AUGCCAGAGAAAGUUCUCGACCUCUCCAUUGACCUUUGUCGCAAGUCCAACAAGCAGUGCCUUCGGGGUUUUUCGCCAAGUCCCUCUCCGACUAGUGUACCACUACCGUCGACAAAGACAUGUGCAUCGCAAGCGUCAAGUUCAACUACCGUCGACCUCGAAGGGCUCGGAGUCAUCAAGCACCUCUCUGAACGAACGGGAACGACUACUGUCGCAAAGAUCGAGAGUACCUCUACGAAAAACACCAAGUACCCCUUUAUGUCGGCAAGACCCGCAAGUCGGACCCCGAACGAUCGACGACUCGUGGACCAUGUACAACUUCAGGCGCCGAACACCCGGAUAGCACAAAUGCCAAGUACCCCAGAGACCACUUGGACGUCAAGUAUCGUCGAACCGCGAAGACUCCAUGGACGUCAAGUUCCUCGCGUGACCAUGAACAUCUACGGAGACUUGUGCGUCUAA
RNAcentral lists this ribosomal RNA (462 nucleotides) under Triticum aestivum (bread wheat). Its description in RNAcentral is "partial small subunit ribosomal RNA". Lineage: Eukaryota; Viridiplantae; Streptophyta; Magnoliopsida; Poales; Poaceae. The record is from RNAcentral.